This 253-nucleotide ribosomal RNA is filed under the name uncultured bacterium. RNAcentral's name for it is "partial 16S ribosomal RNA". It matches the Rfam family "Bacterial small subunit ribosomal RNA", at positions 524 to 776 of the family's 1533-position model. The record is from RNAcentral.
UACGAAGGGGGCUAGCGUUGUUCGGAAUCACUGGGCGUAAAGCGCACGUCGGCCGAUUGGUCAGUUGGGGGUGAAAUCCCGGGGCUUAACCUCGGAACUGCCUUCAAUACUGCCAGUCUCGAGUCCGGAAGAGGUGAGUGGAAUUCCUAGUGUAGAGGUGAAAUUCGUAGAUAUUAGGAAGAACACCAGUGGCGAAGGCGGCUCACUGGUCCGGUACUGACGCUGAGGUGCGAAAGCGUGUGGAGCAAACAGG